This 483-nucleotide ribosomal RNA is filed under the name uncultured bacterium. RNAcentral describes it as "partial 16S ribosomal RNA". It matches the Rfam family "Bacterial small subunit ribosomal RNA", at positions 30 to 506 of the family's 1533-position model. The record is from RNAcentral.
AUUGAACGCUGGCGGCAGGCCUAACACAUGCAAGUCGAGCGGAUGAAGGGAGCUUGCUCCUGGAUUCAGCGGCGGACGGGUGAGUAAUGCCUAGGAAUCUGCCUGGUAGUGGGGGAUAACGUCCGGAAACGGGCGCUAAUACCGCAUACGUCCUGAGGGAGAAAGUGGGGGAUCUUCGGACCUCACGCUAUCAGAUGAGCCUAGGUCGGAUUAGCUAGUUGGUGGGGUAAAGGCCUACCAAGGCGACGAUCCGUAACUGGUCUGAGAGGAUGAUCAGUCAACCUGGAAAUGAGACACGGUCCAGACCCCUAGGGGGGGCAGGAGGGGGGAAUUUUGGAAAAGGGGGGAAAGCCUGACCCAGCCAUGCCGGGUGGGUGAAAAAGGUCUUCGGAUUGUAAAGCACUUUAAGUUGGGAGGAAGGGCAGUAAGUUAAUACCUUGCUUUUUUGACGUUACCAACAGAAUAAGCACCGGCUAACUUCGU